CAGCCGCCGCGGUAAUACGAAGGGUGCAAGCGUUAAUCGGAAUUACUGGGCGUAAAGCGUGCGUAGGCGGUUUGUUAAGUCUGCUGUGAAAUCCCCGGGCUCAACCUAGGAAUGGCAGUGGAUACUGGCAAGCUAGAGUGUGUCAGAGGAUGGUGGAAUUCCCGGUGUAGCGGUGAAAUGCGUAGAGAUCGGGAGGAACAUCAGUGGCGAAGGCGGCCAUCUGGGACAACACUGACGCUGAGGCACGAAAGCGUGGGGAGCAAACAGGAUUAGAUACCCCGUAGUCCCUGUCUCUUAUACA
Molecule: ribosomal RNA, 301 nt
Filed under: uncultured bacterium
Lineage: Bacteria
Description: partial 16S ribosomal RNA
Rfam family: Bacterial small subunit ribosomal RNA
Source: RNAcentral